RNAcentral lists this ribosomal RNA (253 nucleotides) under uncultured bacterium. RNAcentral describes it as "partial 16S ribosomal RNA". It matches the Rfam family "Bacterial small subunit ribosomal RNA", at positions 524 to 776 of the family's 1533-position model. The record is from RNAcentral.
UACGUAGGGUGCAAGCGUUGUCCGGAAUUAUUGGGCGUAAAGAGCUCGUAGGCGGUCUGUCGCGUCUGCUGUGAAAACUCGGGGCUUAACCCCGGGCCUGCAGUGGGUACGGGCAGACUAGAGUGCGGUAGGGGAGACUGGAAUUCCUGGUGUAGCGGUGAAAUGCGCAGAUAUCAGGAGGAACACCGAUGGCGAAGGCAGGUCUCUGGGCUGACACUGACGCUCAUGCACGAAAGCGUGGGGAGCAAACAGG